RNAcentral lists this ribosomal RNA (2872 nucleotides) under Acinetobacter baumannii 43557_1. RNAcentral describes it as "bacterial LSU rRNA". It matches the Rfam family "Bacterial large subunit ribosomal RNA". RNAcentral also lists the same sequence under 1 other name. Lineage: Bacteria; Pseudomonadati; Pseudomonadota; Gammaproteobacteria; Moraxellales; Moraxellaceae. The record is from RNAcentral.
CAAGUAAUUAAGUGCAUGUGGUGGAUGCCUUGGCAGUCAGAGGCGAUGAAAGACGUGAUAGCCUGCGAAAAGCUCCGGGGAGGCGGCAAAUAUCCUUUGAUCCGGAGAUGUCUGAAUGGGGGAACCCACCUACUUUAAGGUAGGUAUUGCAACAUGAAUACAUAGUGUUGCAAGGCGAACGAGGGGAAGUGAAACAUCUCAGUACCCUUAGGAAAAGAAAUCAAUUGAGAUUCCCUCAGUAGCGGCGAGCGAACGGGGAUCAGCCCAUUAAGUUAUGUGUGUUUUAGUGGAACGCUCUGGGAAGUGCGAACGUAGAGGGUGAUAUUCCCGUACACGAAAGGGCACACAUAAUGAUGACGAGUAGGGCGAGGCACGUGAAACCUUGUCUGAAUAUGGGGGGACCAUCCUCCAAGGCUAAAUACUCCUGACUGACCGAUAGUGAACCAGUACCGUGAGGGAAAGGCGAAAAGAACCCCUGUGAGGGGAGUGAAAUAGAUCCUGAAACCGCAUGCAUACAAGCAGUGGGAGCACCUUCGUGGUGUGACUGCGUACCUUUUGUAUAAUGGGUCAGCGACUUAUAUUCAGUAGCGAGGUUAACCGUAUAGGGGAGCCGUAGAGAAAUCGAGUCUUAAUAGGGCGUUUAGUUGCUGGGUAUAGACCCGAAACCAGGCGAUCUAUCCAUGAGCAGGUUGAAGGUUGGGUAACACUAACUGGAGGACCGAACCCACUGUCGUUGAAAAGCCAGGGGAUGACUUGUGGAUAGGGGUGAAAGGCUAAUCAAGCCUGGUGAUAGCUGGUUCUCCCCGAAAGCUAUUUAGGUAGCGCCUCGGACGAAUACCAUAGGGGGUAGAGCACUGUUUCGGCUAGGGGGUCAUCCCGACUUACCAAACCGAUGCAAACUCCGAAUACCUAUGAGUACUAUCCGGGAGACAGACUGCGGGUGCUAACGUCCGUAGUCAAGAGGAAAACAAUCCAGACCGCCAGCUAAGGCCCCAAAAUCAUAGUUAAGUGGGAAACGAUGUGGGAAGGCAUAGACAGCUAGGAGGUUGGCUUAGAAGCAGCCACCCUUUAAAGAAAGCGUAAUAGCUCACUAGUCGAGUCGGCCUGCGCGGAAGAUGUAACGGGGCUAAAACUAUGUGCCGAAGCUGCGGAUGUAUACUUUGUAUACGUGGUAGGGGAGCGUUCUGUAAGCCGAUGAAGGUGUGUUGAGAAGCAUGCUGGAGGUAUCAGAAGUGCGAAUGCUGACGUGAGUAACGACAAAACGGGUGAAAAACCCGUUCGCCGAAAGACCAAGGGUUCCAGUCCAACGUUAAUCGGGGCUGGGUGAGUCGACCCCUAAGGCGAGGCCGAAAGGCGUAGUCGAUGGGAAAAUGGUUAAUAUUCCAUUACUUCUGUGUAAUGCGAUGAGAGGACGGAGAAGGCUAAAUCAGCCUGGCGUUGGUUGUCCAGGUGAAAGGAUGUAGGCAUGUAUCUUAGGCAAAUCCGGGGUACUCUAUGCUGAGAUCUGAUAGCAAGCUGUACUUGUACAGCGAAGUGGUUGAUGCCAUGCUUCCAGGAAAAGUCUCUAAGCUUCAGUUACACAGGAAUCGUACCCGAAACCGACACAGGUGGUCAGGUCGAGUAGACCAAGGCGCUUGAGAGAACUCUGCUGAAGGAACUAGGCAAAAUGGUACCGUAACUUCGGGAGAAGGUACGCUGUUGUUGGUGAUGGAACUCGCUUCCUGAGCUGACGACAGCCGCAGAAACCAGGCCGCUGCAACUGUUUAUUAAAAACAUAGCACUCUGCAAACACGAAAGUGGACGUAUAGGGUGUGAUGCCUGCCCGGUGCUGGAAGGUUAAUUGAUGGGGUUAGCGUAAGCGAAGCUCUUGAUCGAAGCCCCAGUAAACGGCGGCCGUAACUAUAACGGUCCUAAGGUAGCGAAAUUCCUUGUCGGGUAAGUUCCGACCUGCACGAAUGGCAUAAUGAUGGCGGCGCUGUCUCCAGCAGAGGCUCAGUGAAAUCGAAAUCGCUGUGAAGAUGCAGUGUACCCGCGGCUAGACGGAAAGACCCCGUGAACCUUUACUGCAGCUUGACACUGAACUUUGACCUUACUUGUGUAGGAUAGGUGGGAGGCUUUGAAGCUGGAACGCUAGUUCCAGUGGAGCCGUCCUUGAAAUACCACCCUGGUAAUGUUGAGGUUCUAACUCUGUCCCGUGAUCCGGGACGAGGACCGUGUCUGGUGGGUAGUUUGACUGGGGCGGUCUCCUCCUAAAGAGUAACGGAGGAGUACGAAGGUGCGCUCAGCGUGGUCGGAAAUCACGCGUAGAGUAUAAAGGCAAAAGCGCGCUUAACUGCGAGACCCACAAGUCGAGCAGGUACGAAAGUAGGUCUUAGUGAUCCGGUGGUUCUGUAUGGAAGGGCCAUCGCUCAACGGAUAAAAGGUACUCUGGGGAUAACAGGCUGAUACCGCCCAAGAGUUCAUAUCGACGGCGGUGUUUGGCACCUCGAUGUCGGCUCAUCUCAUCCUGGGGCUGAAGCAGGUCCCAAGGGUAUGGCUGUUCGCCAUUUAAAGAGGUACGCGAGCUGGGUUUAGAACGUCGUGAGACAGUUCGGUCCCUAUCUACCGUGGGCGCUGGAAAUUUGAGAGGAUCUGCUCCUAGUACGAGAGGACCAGAGUGGACGAACCUCUGGUGUACCGGUUGUGACGCCAGUCGCAUCGCCGGGUAGCUAUGUUCGGAAGGGAUAACCGCUGAAAGCAUCUAAGCGGGAAGCCUACCUCAAGAUAAGAUUUCCCUAGGACUUUAUGUCCUCUAAAGAGCCGUUCGAGACUAGGACGUUGAUAGGUUGGAUGUGGAAGCAUAGUGAUAUGUGAAGCUGACCAAUACUAAUUG